UAUAUUUCCAGCAAAACUUGUACACUGCACGUGUGGUUUAACUGAAAUUGACCAUUAAAAUGUGAAAAUUUGUGUAUAAACCUGUAUAUUUUAUUGAGUGUAAUAUACUGGAAAUGAGAGGCUCAGAUCUCGGCUCUGGAGCAUGAUCGGAUGAAACGAAUCAGACUCUUCUGUUCGUUUUGCCCUCCCUAACGCACGGUAUGAAUUUGGUGUAAAUCUGAGAACGAUGAAUUUUUGACCCCCAAAAAAUCACAAAGGUUAACCCCUUACCAUUUUUCUAUUUUGGGUGAAAAAUGUGACGUUCUCAGAUCUUCCCCAAAUUCACAGUGUGCGUUAGGGAGAUCAAGAGUAACACAUCAGUGCACACAGUUUUGCUCUAUCAUGCUCCAAAGCUGAGACAUAGUAUCUUUAUUUUACUACAGUACAGUAGAUAAAAUCGUAAUAGUAUAGUAUAGUAGAGUUUAGUAGAUUAAAAUAGGUACAGUAGAUAAAAUUGUUAUAGUACAGAAUAGCAGAUAAAACCGGUAUAUUUCCAUCAAAACUUGUACAUUGCACAUGUGGUUUAACUGAAAUUGACCAUUAAAAUGUGAACAUUUGUGUAUAAAC
Long non-coding RNA from Ictalurus punctatus (channel catfish), 606 nucleotides. Lineage: Eukaryota; Metazoa; Chordata; Actinopteri; Siluriformes; Ictaluridae. The record is from Ensembl.